Molecule: long non-coding RNA, 1600 nt
Filed under: Anas platyrhynchos platyrhynchos (common mallard)
Lineage: Eukaryota; Metazoa; Chordata; Aves; Anseriformes; Anatidae
Description: lncRNA (ENSAPLG00000027722.1)
Source: RNAcentral
AUGGAUGUGUGCCCACAGAUGGAGUUGACCCAAAGGGAAUUCAUUACCACGCAUCUCCAAUGGCAAACCAAGCCUCGCUGCAAAUCAGACUGCACUGCCUGGAGAGGUUCUGACGAACGCACUGCAGACAGGGCUCCACCAUCAAAAGGAUCCUCAUGGGACAGUUUUUGCUUCCUUCCCAUGCAGCUGGGCAUCCUGGCAGUCAGUGGGAGCUUUGGGAGCAUGAUAUUACUCAUGUGGGGUUUUUUCUGGAAGCAUGUUCCAACAGGGCAGAAAUUGCAGAGUAUGCUUGGAUCAGGCAGUGUCCCAGAGGGAGGCUGGAGGGGAGAGCUGUGGGUGUCUCCACCAGAGAAAUCAGGCAGAAUGCUGCAGGUCUCAAAUAAGGGAAUAUAUAUAUUUCUGUUCCAUCUUCCAGCACUUUUCUAUAAGCAUUCAUGGAUUAAUCAUCCAGCUCAGUUGGCAUUAGGAAGGCUUUGCUACUCCUUGUUAGUAGAAAAAAAGCAUGGCAGAAAACUUGAAGUCUUUAAGGGCCAACAAGAAGUCACAGACAGACCUCCUGCCUACUUUCCAGCAUUCAUAACAAACAAAAAGGGGAGUUAGGCUCAGCCAGCUUGAAGGAGGAUGGUAAAAUAUGUAGAGACAGAUUUAGCAGUAAAAGAAAAUCCCCAAGUGAGAAGAGGAAUGAGGCCCCACCUACAUGUAAAACCAGUGCCCACCUGACCAUCAGAUUGCAAACGCACGGCACCUUUUAAGUACAUAAGCAAAUUAGAUAAAAUGAAUAAUCUCAGGGCUUAUAUGUGUCAUAGAUCUGGGAGAUGAGAGGCGGCUGGGAGCUGCAUGCGAAGCUUUGAUUUUACGAUGGAGGAUUAGUGCAGCGCCAGGAUUAUCUGGCAAGCCCCAUCCCAGGUACAGUUGAGUUGGGUCAAGCAAGCGGUUGAAGUUUGCUUCUUGCCAGAAGACUCAGUCACAUAAAAACUGUACUGUUACACGCCCAGAUGAGUCAGGCUCCUAGCAUCGUAAACUUUAUUCCACAAUGAAAAUGUGAGCCUCUACAACAAAGAGGCCCUCACACCCGUUACAAGAGAAUUUUUGAGGGUAUAUCGUGCUGCAGUUGUCCUAGGGGCCCAGCAGCUCAUUGGCAUCUUGGCACUAGUCCUCAGUUCUCCAUCUGGGAUGACUGGACCUAGGGAAAGGAGCCACUCAACGUUUUAACAUUUCUGGGAUAAUUUUCCCCAUGGUUCCUCUGCUGUUUUCUGUUUUGAGAGCACAAGGGCCUGGCGGAGGAGACAUGGCACAUGAGUUGCCAGCAGUAUUCCCAGCAGAGGAUGAGCUCAGUGCCUUCUCCAUCAGGAUGUCAGGCAAUGGGGUUUGGGAGAGGUUUGGGAAGGGCUCCGAGGCAGGCCUGCUCCCAGCUGUGACACACCACAUCCUGGCGGGGGCUGCCCAAGGGAGGAGGAACAAACGAUGCCCAGCUGUGAGCCGCUAUGGCAGGCCCCAUUCUGAACCAGUGAGGGGAUGUAGCCCAGCCCCAAGCCCCAGGGGAGAUGGAUUUAAUAUAUCUGUUGGUCUCCGGGAUGGCAUUCACCAGGAGACUGUAGUC